UUAUUAUUUUGUAUUUGCAUCUAACUUUUAAUUUUAUAAAAUGGAAAUGGUAGAAGUACUAAUAUUGAAGUUUCCUCUGAAUUUUAUAUUCAAAUCUGAACCACGUGAAAUGCUCCAUUAAUGUAGAGAGAGAAAGAGAAUGAUUGUUAAGGAUAAUGGGGUAGGUGUAGGGUAUUUUUGGAAUAAAGAAAAUAGUGAGAAAGUGUAAAAUAUUUUUGAAAUAAAUUAAAUUAAUGAGGAGGUACAGGUCUGGCUUGGGGAGGUGUAAGGAGCAACACCCCACCUUAAAAUAUCCAAAGAGCAUUUAUAAAACUAAAAAACAAUUUUUAUCAUGUUUUUGUAUCUAGUGCUCAAUAAACCCAAAUAUAACCAAUCCUAAUUAAAAUAUUCUAUUAACAUACAAAAACAAAUUCAGAAUCCAAUAUUAAAGACUAAAUAAGAACAUAAAUAUAUACUCAUCAAUAAUGUUAAAAUUACACUUAUGAGCAUGACUGAAAAAUAAAAAUUAUUAUAUAAAAAAUCAUCAAGACAAUAUUCUAUACAAUAAAAAAACAACAAAUAGUAUUAAAAAGAAAUAGUAUUAAAAAGAAGAAAAAAAUAUUAAAUAUGUGCUCUAGAAACAAUUUGGUAUACUUUUAAUGAAAUCUCACAAAGAAAACAAUGUAUAGUUAAGAUUAUUUUAAGAUGAAAAAUACCCUGGACAUUUAAGAAAUCUUUCAAAUAUUGAACUAGUUGAAUUAUUAAAAAAUAAUGAAAAUUGUUUUGGUAAAAUAAAAGUUAUUCGAAUGAGACAGAAAUUAAGAUUAAAGAUAAAAAAGAUAAGUUUUUAUAUAUUUUAAACAAAUUAUUGAAUAUUUAAAAUUGAGGUCAAACAUUCUUAUUAAAAGAAUAUAUAUGAAAGAUUGUCAUGAUCUAAUUUAAUAUAUUUGUUUUCAUAAUUAUAAUUCUUUAUUUUCUUAUAAUAAAUAGUUAAAAAUAAUUAAUUUAAAUUUUUUAUAUAAUAAAUUUUUAUUUAAUUUAGAAUUAAAAAAUGCAAAAGAUUUUGUUAAUUUUUUUUUUUAAUUAUGUGGACAGCCGCGGUAAGCUUGUAAACUGAGUGUGAAUAUGAAUCAAACCUAUCAUUUUUACCUAUCAUGUACAAAACAACCAAAAUAAGAUUGCUAAAAUCAUUCCAAUGAAACCUCAUUAUUAUUCCUAAACUUUAGUUCUUCAAAAAAACAUAGUGAAUUUAGUUUCAAAAAAUACAAAAUGUUAUUUAAUUUACAUUAUCUUGUGAAUUUUAUUUUGUCAUCAAAUAUAAUUUUAAUUGCUAAUUUAGUAUUAUUAAAAACUAAAUCUAGAUUAUUUAUAUGUUUAAAGAUUAAAUUAUAAUUUUCAAUAUUUUUUGAAGAUCUAAAUUAAUCAUUGUAAUACUUUGAUUUAGGAUGUCACGUGUGAGGAAGAGAACAUUCUUUAUUUAGGAAAAUAAAACUUUGAUACUAUCACAGUAUAGAAAAAAUUUAAACUUUAUAUUAAGUUAUCUUGAAAAUAAAUAAAAACAUGCGAGAAUAAUAAUUAAUCCAAUUACAACUUGAAAUAACAUACUAACCUCUUUAUAAUUUGUUUAAAUAAAAACAAACAACCUUUUGAAAACUCCAAAAAUAAUUCUCCACUCGUCUAUCGUUCUUCGCCGCUUCAACAUCAUCAGCAACAACAUCUGUAACAUCAUCUGCUCCCGUAUAAUACGAUCAUUGCAGGUGGAAACCAUCACCACAAAUGCAAGGGUGAGCUAACAGAAUCAACAUCUAACUCAUAGAUAAUGAUAUAAUAUAAUAAUACAAUUAUCAAUUAAUGUUACUAAUGAGGAGCAUUGGUAAAUCUUGAAGUAAAUAGUUUUGAUGAUGCUACAAGACGUUUUACCUGAAGGAAGUAUUAGAAAUGUUUAAAAGCACUUUGUAGAAUAUAAGUGUAAUAGGAAAGUCUUCAAAUUUUGUAAAACUUGUAUUUUUACUGAAAUAAUCGAUUAUGAGAAGCAAUAAUCAGUUAUCAUGAGUCUUUCAGGAAUAAUCGAUUAUCAUUCCAAAUAAUCAAUUAUCACAUUUUGAAAAACCUGUAACGGACUUGAAUAAUCGAUUAUCACUUACAAUAAUCGAUUAUUAGUGACAGUUGGGACUUGACCUCUGAUAUUUAGAGUAGCUGGCUAUAUAUUGGACUUCUGAGAAUUUCAGAAGAAACGUUGUUGAAUAGAAGCUCUUGCAGAAUACUGUUUGUCAGAGGAAGUUCUCAAAAGCUAUAGUUCAAGUUCCCUUGCUUGGUCUCGUGAAUAGGAGAAGCUCGCGUUUCGUGUGUCGAUAGUCGGAGCGGUUCUCUUCGAGUUAGCAAGGUGCUCUGCCUGGUCUCGUGAAUAGGAGAAGCUCGUGUAUCAUGUGUCGAUAGUCGGAGUGGUUCUCUUUGAGUUGGCAGAGUGUUCUUCUUCUGGUUCGUUCAUCGAAGGAAAGUUCUUUUAUCAUAUUUUAUUUAUUACUAUUGUAAUAUGUGAAACUCAUUUUUAUAGUGAUUACCGACUGAACGUAGAUUCUUUUGAAUCGAACCAGUACAAAAAUUACUUGUGUGAUUUUUCUACUCCCUAUACUGAUAACUCUCAAAUUUUCCCUAUUUUUCUAGUCUUAGAAGUUUAUUUUAGUACAUUUUAGUUUCUUAUUUUAUAGAAUUAGGUUAGUUUAGUAUUUUUUUUUUCUUUAAAUUUAGAGUUUUGUUAAAAUAGUGUUAAUUUUGCCUUUUCAGUUAAAUAAAAUAGGUUUUUAAAUAAAUAGAUAUUUUUCCUUUUUAGAAACAAAUAUUUUGAGAAUGAAAAUAAAAAUUUCUUUUGUUGUUAUAGACUUUUAGUUUUUUUUGUUGUUUAUUUUUUUUCNUUAUUUCUUUUUGCAGUAUUAAACCUGAUCCAAGGGGGCCACAAAUCUGGCCAAGGCUGGUGCUGAAAUGGGCCGAAGUAAUAUGGCCAGUGUUUAUGGACUAAAGCCAUUUUGGGCAGCAGAUUAAUGAAACGCUCAUUCAAGCAGCUGUGUGUUUACUAAAGGAGUAUACCCGUGAAGAGGGUUUCAUUUCUCCAAAUUAGAAGCAAUUGGAGCUAGGACUCACAAAGAAGAUUUUCCCCAAAUUCUCUAAACCCUCAAUCUAGGGUUCGUGGUCCAGCAAGAGGGGAUCAGUCCGAUGAAGCAAAUCCAAAGAACGACAACCCAAAAACGGGAACAGCCUAAGAUGUUGAUCGGUCAGAAUGAAGGUUGGAAGCACGUGCUAAGCUUGAACGGUUUGAGAACCUGGUCAGAGUCAGUUGAAGGAUAUUCAAGAAGCUUCCAAGUUUGUUCAGAUUCUUUCCCCUUUCCCCCUCUUUUCAUCUUUUCUGUUUAUGUUUUCUCCUAUAUAAAGGAGUUUUGUAAAAUAGAAUAAGUAUGUGCACUGGGUGACAGGCAGUGUACUUAGAUUAGGUUCUCCUUCUCUCGCCUUAGAGUAGAUAGUGGUGAGUGACAGACAUCACUUGUAGGGUGUAUACUACGAUUCAGUUUUCGAUUUCUCGCUUUAGUGUUAGAUUUACCGCUUUCGUAGAAGUAGAUACUUUGAUUCUUGCACUGGAAUUCUUGGGGAUGAUCAAUGGGUGACAGACUUUGAGCUCUCUGGGAUUUCUGGUAUCUGUACUUUUGAUUUCCUUUUCUUAAUAAAAGUUGUUCUUUCCAAUUUCAGUUUNNNNNNNNNNNNNNNNNNNNNNNNNNNNNNNNNNNNNNNNNNNNNNNNNNNNNNNNNNNNNNNNNNNNNNNNNNNNNNNNNNNNNNNNNNNNNNNNNNNNNNNNNNNNNNNNNNNNNNNNNNNNNNNNNNNNNNNNNNNNNNNNNNNNNNNNNNNNNNNNNNNNNNNNNNNNNNNNNNNNNNNNNNNNNNNNNNNNNNNNNNNNNNNNNNNNNNNNNNNNNNNNNNNNNNNNNNNNNNNNNNNNNNNNNNNNNNNNNNNNNNNNNNNNNNNNNNNNNNNNNNNNNNNNNNNNNNNNNNNNNNNNNNNNNNNNNNNNNNNNNNNNNNNNNNNNNNNNNNNNNNNNNNNNNNNNNNNNNNNNNNNNNNNNNNNNNNNNNNNNNNNNNNNNNNNNNNNNNNNNNNNNNNNNNNNNNNNNNNNNNNNNNNNNNNNNNNNNNNNNUGUUCACUGUUAUUAGCAUAUCAUUUAGGAUAGGAAUUACGCAUUGCAUAUUUCAAUUUUGUUUCAUUCAUUUAAUCUUUAGUUUAAAUAGAUACAAUCAUGCAUUGCAUUAUCUUUUCAUAUUAGAUUUCAUUUUUACAUUUUAUUUUCCCCACCUAGUUUUUAGUAAAUAAAUACAUAAUUAGGCAUAAUUCUACAAUUCUAUCUUAAUAAGUACCAAGUCCACGGAUUAGACCCUAGGUUGCCCCUAUACUACAUUAGUGGGGAAUUUAGGUUUGUUGAGAUUUUAGGCGACAAAAAAUCCUUUCAACAUAUACUCUUUAAUUUUAUUUGCAUAUCAACUGUUCGAUAAAUUUUCACUUAGAAAAUUUAUUUUACAAACUGACCAUUUUAAUCUUAAAAAGUUGAGUGAACACGCUUUUCUCUACUUUAAGUUUUAUUCCCCUGCGUUAUACUCUAUCUCCGAACGAUAGCGAUUGUUAACCAACAAUAAGCUCAUAACAAUCCUACUAAAUCAAACUCACAACAUUGUUAAUCCAACUCCAACCUAGAGAAACCAUGCCACACUCUCGAUUACUAUCGCUACAUGUUUUCUUCCGUACUCCAGCACACAUGACCUGUUCACCUAAACCGGGCCUACGCACCAACGCAGGACUUUCUCGCAUCAUUUGCUAUUGAGUACGUAAAAAACCACAGGGUUCACAGUCACCCACUAGCAUGACUUAUCAAACAACCCUUAUGGAAAACAACAACUCAACCAACUCAUGUUCCACUCGACACACGUUCCAAUUAACGUUGCAACUACAAUGCAAGAACAACAUUCAAGAACUUUUAGUUUUUUUAAUAUGACAAAAAAUAAGAUAAAAGAGAAUAUUCAAACGAGAAGCUUACUCUAGAUACCAAAUGAUAAGAUCAUGUCUAGGAAAUAGUAUGAUCGUUUCCGAAUUUGAAUCCUUAAGAGAAACAAAAAAAUAAUAAUCAGAGAAGAAUGUGGAAUAAGAUAGGGAUGAGGACACCAUAAUCUAGCAUAUUGAUAAUUUAAGUAAAGAUUCACCAUAAAGAUAUUAAUAUUUGAUAAUAAUCACAAUUCUAAUCCAAGAACCAAGAUAAUCCUCUCUCAAAGAAUGGAAAUGUGUAUAUAUAUAUAUAUAUAUAUAUGAUAUGAUAUGACUUAAAAGUGUCUACAUAUGUAUUUGGUACCCUUAUAUAUAAGCACAAAUGUUUAAGCCACCUAAUAAACUCUUAAGAACCAAGAUAAUUCUCUCUCAAAGAAUGAAAAUGUAUAUAUAUAAUAUGACUUAAAAGUGUCUACAUAUGUAUUUGGUACCCUUACAUAUAAUCACAAAUGUUUAAGCCAUCUAAUAAACCCUAAAAGAGUCCAAAGACAUUAGACCCAAAAAUAACUUGAAAAUUUAAAAACAGAAACUAAUUGUCUGUAAUUAAAAGAAAACAAAUAUCGUUUUAGUUGUCUAAAUUAUUGUAUAAUUAUGCUCUAAGCCAUGAUUUUCAUGUCCCUUGAAUUCCAAUCUUCAUGGAGCAUCAUGAGUCUCAAGGAUAUUUGUUCUUCGAGCUAUUUGUUUCUUGGCCUUGUCAUAGGUCCUUUGAAUUGGAAUGACUUUUCCUCAAGUUCUUCUUUUAUAGGAUCAAGGGAUAGUCCUCUGUCAUAAUCUAUUUUAUAACCAUUGUUAGUCACAUUCAAUAUUUUAAUAAUUCUAAUUCAGGCCCUUAUCAAAUCAGAAUAUUAUCUUAGGGUAUCUACAUAAUAACUUUUUAUGACAAUUAUGUCCUUAAUGGAAGACACAACGUACAAGAAUUUGUUAUCACGUGUGUUUUAUGGGAUGUGUACCUUUCACACAAGUAUUUUUUGUAGAUAAUUUUUCCACACUAUAUUUCGUAAGUAAUGUUUGUAGAUAAUUUUUUACGCUUUAAUUUUGUAGUUAAUUACUAAUGAAUAAUUUUGUAAGUUACGUAUAAUGGUUACCUUUUUUAUGCAACUUAUAGUUUAUGUUAAUCCUCUCAUUAAUUUUUUUUUCCUCUUAUCGACUAAAGUUUAGUAUAUAUACCCAAUUAAGAAAAAUAAAAAUAAAAAUAAUAUUCAUUCUCCUUUUCUUAGUAUUAGAAAAAUAUAAGAUAUAUAAUAUAUGAUAUAAAAUAUAGGAUCUGAAAAGGAUUUAGAAUAUAUAAUGUUAUCGUAAAUUAUUUCAUAUAACAUUAUAAUAAUAUAUAUGUAGUUAUGUUAUUAAUAUUAUUAUAUCUAUGUUUUAUGAUAAAAUAAUAAUGAUUAAAUUAAUUAUGUUAGAGAAACAUUAAAAAUAAAAAUAAAAUAUAUGUAUAAGCUUUUCGUUAUGUUUUUUAUUUUUAUUGUAUUAAUUUUAUCAAUACUCAAGUAUAAUUUAUAUUAGUUUAAAGCUGAAUUUUUCAACUAAAUAAUAUUUUAUGAAACGAAUUUUUAAAAGUACAGACUAAUUUUAUUCUUUAUUAUAUUAUUCAAAACCUGUGAUGGACUGAGAUUGAAGGAUGUAUGGGGUUGUAAAUUUUAGUUAACUUCAUAGUAUUACAAAGGUUUAAUACUUUUUUUUCUCUCGAAAGAGGGGGAAUGUUCAAAUUCAUUAUACCUUUUUUAAAAAGUUAAAAUGGGUCCCAACUUGUGAAAAAACUAUUCAAGUUAAUCUUUUUUUGUUACGAUGUUAAUUUUUUAACAGUGUAGCUGACACCCUGGACAAAACAUAAUGACAUGUUAGAAUAUUUGAGUGUGUGAGGGUGAAAUGACAUGUAAAAAAAUAAAUUGGGAAAAAAAAUAAAUGGCAUGACACUGUACUCUGGGAGGUUAAAAAAACAGGGGUUAGGGUUCGAGAGAAAUCACGAAUUAGGAGUAAACAUUAUGGUGAAAGUGGUGUUCAAAUUGGGGUGUCGUCGAAGCUGAAAUUUGAAGAGCGAAUUCAAAAGUGUAAAUCAGGUUAGUGUUUAUGUUUUAUAAUUUUCCGAAUUUGUGUUAUUGUUUGGUUAUGAUAUUUGUCGCGUUGCCGCGUUUUGGGCGGGGGGGUUAACUACGGGUUAAAUUGUUGUGUGAAAAGUUGUCUUGUUUUGAGGGUUGAUAGUGGUCUCAUAUGUCUUAGUUUAACUUAAUUUAGUGGUCCCCGUUUGCAUUUGCAGGGUUCGAGUUGGGAUGUCUAAUGACAGGUUUCAGGUAGUGGUCCACCACGGUGAGACCUUGAUCAAAGAAGUGCCCUUUAAAUAUAUAGGUGGGGAGAUAGUUUAUUAGGACGUAGCUGACCGCAAUAAAUGGUGUUAUUUUGGAGUAUUAGGUUCACUUAAACAUCUGGGUUACAUUGAAAUACAAGAAUUAUAUUACAAUAUCCAACAUAUUUUACAUAAGCUUUAUGAUGAUAAAGGAGCUAUGGACAUGAUGAAGGUGGCUAAUUAUUUGGGAAAGUAAACCUAUAUGUUGUACAUGGGGUGGACGAACCAGUUGUUGUAGAAAAUUAUGAGAAUGAGAUUAUUUACCUAUGUGAAGGUCCUACAGAGAGUGUUGAGGGUAGUAUCGUUAGAGGAGAAGCACAUGUUGAUGGUGGUGAUGAAGGAAUUGGGGACGUAGAAGUUGAAUUGGAAAAGGAGGUUGAGGAUGAGGGUGCAAUGAAGGUUGAGAAUGAGGAUGCAGUGGAGGUUGAGAAUGAGGUUGCAGUAGAGGUUGAGAAUGAGGAUGUAAUGGAGGUUGAGAAUGAGAGUACAGUGGAGGUUGAGGUUGAAAGUGAAUAAGCAGUGGAAGUGGACAGUGAGGAUGGAGUUGAGGUUGAUAGUCAAGAAGAAGUGGAAGUGGACAGUGAGGAUGAACCAGGAAUGGAUGAUCUGAGUGGUGAUGAAUACGUGGAUCAAGACAGUGAUAAUGAAACCCAACAACAGUAUAGGGGUUUGUCAGAGGAUGACAACAAGGAUAAAUUAUGUGUAGGUCCCUUUUCAAAAUAUGCAAAACAGAAGUCGAUGCCAGAUUAUAGGUGGGAAGUGGGCAUCAUUUUUAGCAAUAAGGAAGACUUUGAGGAUGCCAUUAGAAGGUAUGUUGUUCAUGUUGAUAGGACUCUAAAAUUUGUGAAAAAUGAUAAUCGUAGGAUGAGGGUUAGAUGCAUGGGUGGCUAAGGUAAAUGCCCAUGGGUAGCUUACUGUGGAUAUUUGCCAUCACGCAAAAUUUGGCAAUUGAGAAAGAUAAUUGACACUCACAGUUGUAGUAAGUAACUUAACAAUAAACUGAUGAAUGCUAAGUGGUUGAGUUAGGAAAUAGAUAGGUCUUUAGUUGACAAUCCUAAUCUGAUGUGGAGGGCUGCCAUAUGUACAUAUCCCCAGGCUUGGGAGAGAGAAAUGUUGAAAAUUAAAGAAGUCAAUAUUGAAGCAUAUAAAUACCUCAUAGGCAUUCCCAUGAGGUAACCCAUUGGCCAUUACAUGCACAUUUCAGUCACUCAUGCAUUGUAACCCAUUUUGGAAAUUUUUGUGCAACAGGUUUUGGUCAAGAUCUCACUUCACAGGUCAAACAAUGCGUGAUACCCUAAAUAGCAACAUCAGUGAAGCUUUCAACAAUGUUCUUGUUCAUGCUAGAGGAAAACCAAUUAUCACCAUGUUGGAGGAUACCAGAGUUUAUCUCAUGAAAAGAUGGGCCACCAAUAUAAGUAAGGUGGCAUAUAUGGGCUUCACAAUAUCCCAAAGAUAAAAGAGACUUCAGAAGGAAUCAAAUUUGUCAAGAUUUUGGGUCUCAAGGUAAUAUUAUCAUUUAUGUUCAUAUACAUUUGUCAUUUAUCUUCAUUGUUGAAGUGCUUUAUUUAUUUCAGUUGGCCUGCACAAAAUAUUUUUGAGGUUAGCCACACUUCAGCCGUUGAGAACAAGUUCACACUGGACUUGGACACUAAAAAAUGUAGCUGCAGAAAGUGGAUGAUCAGUGUCAUCCCAUGCUAUCAUGCAAUUGCAACAAUGAACUACUCAAAUGUAGACUCAGAGAAUUUUAUACCCACUUGCUUUAGAAGAUCCACAUAUGAAGAAGUGUAUGCCUCUAUAAUUUUUCUAGUGAAUGACCACCUGCUAUGGGAAAGAACAACCUUCUCUGAUGUACUGCCACUAGUGAAGAGGAAGUUGCUUGGGAGACCAAAGAAAAAAAGGAGGUUGGAGGCAUGAGAGCUAACUAAGGAUGACACUCAAAUGCGUGUUGGUAGACAUAGAAAAAAAUGUAGCAUUUGCCGUCAGAAGGGGCACAACAAGAAUAACUACCCUUUACGUCCCCAGCCAGCAGAAACAACAGAGCUAAUGGAUGAAACACAACCAUCAUAGGCACCUCCAAGUACCCAAACCCUAUACCAUUACAGCCACCAAGUCCCCAAUCAACCCAUCCACUAGUGUUGAGGACAAAAUUAGAUGUUAGAAGAAAAGCUACUUAGAUGAAUUAGAUGUAUUAUGUACUGUGAUUAAGAACUUUAUGUCUUUACUUUCAUGGUGAUGUACUGUGCUUCAUGAACUUUAUUUAAGUAUCUUGGUCAUAAGUUGUACUCAUAUUUUGCUCAUGUACUGGUAAUAUAUAUGUAUGGUAAUGAAGGAAAGUGCUUUGAUGAAUUAACCUAUACUCAUAAUUUCUUAUUUCUUCAUAAUCUUAUGUUAACAGUUUUGUCAUCAUCAUAUACAUUAUUGGCUUGACCUAUGUGAAUAUUUUUAAAGCAAAUGGGAGAUUGAUUCGAAUAUUCUCCACUGAAUUUAACUCAUUAAAAUAGUCAAUGCUACGUAAUACAUUGCAUGACUGAUCUUACACCAACCAAAACACCUUGACAUUGCCAACCUACUUUUUUCAAGCAUCCAAUACAUUACAUGAAUGUCAACAAAACAUAAAAGAAACACCCAAUUUCCCCACCUCAGAACCUGAAAGUCACAAGGUUCAGCGUAAUAUACACAAACAAAGCUACAACUAACAACUUCAUCCUUUUCUUCAAAUCCUUCACUACAUUUUCCAGAUCACUUAUCCUCCUCACAAUUGUACAAUCUUUUUCAUCAACGUUUUUUUUCAGAACACCGCUUGAAAAAGUUACACGAGCUCCCAAUUGAAGAUCCACCCUAUUAUUCACCAAGUUAGGGAAUCUAUCACCAAAUGCAUAAAGUGAAGAAAACAUAAACUCGGAAGGGUAUACUUAAAACCUUGUAAUGAGAACAUCUCCAAAAAUUUCUGCCAGCAUUCUCCGUAGUUCCCGCGACUUUGGUUACAACAAUAUUACCACAGUAACAAAUAGGGAUUAUCCCACCUCCCCUCCAACCAUCACCAUGAGACAAACGCGAAGAUCCUUUGACCCAACUUUUCGAAAACGAAGAACACCCUUGGGAAGAAGCCAUUCCUAUCUCGCCCCAAACACUUUUCUCACCUCAACGACUAAGUUGGAGGAACCUAAACCCUAACCCCUCUUUUUUUAACUUCUGCCACGUUAUCUAUUUUUUUUUUCACAAUUUUAACCUCAAAUAGUCACACGGUCACAUAAAAUAGACACGUCAUUAUGUUUUGUCCAGGGUUCAGUUACACUGUUAAAAAAUUAAUGUCAUAACAAAAAAGAAUUAAUUUGAACAAUUUUUUCAUAAGUUGAAACUCUUUUUAAUUUUUUUAAAAAAAGUAGGACGAAUUUAAAUAUUCCCUAUUUUUCAAGGAAUCAAAAGAGGCAUUAAGCCUAUUAUUAACAUUGAGUUUAAAAGUUGAAAUUUGUUACAUUAUAGUUUUUAUGAUUUAUAACUUCUGAAAAUGUAUAUGUAUGAAGAUUUUUUUUAAAAUAAUAACUUGUAAAGGAACUGUUAUAACAAUAUUUAAAAAUUAGGUAAAUAAAAAUCACUUUCCAUAUAAGGUUUUUUUCUUCUUUUUGUGUUAAAUUGAUAUCUUUUAAGAAAAUAUAUAGUAUUUUUAUCUGUAAAACGUUGAUUAUGGACUGAAUUCUUUUCGGUAUAUUUUUUUGAAAUAAUAACCUUUCACUACUCUAUUUUUUUUUCGUAAAAAUUCCAUUUUAGUUCAUAUUUUAUAGGAUGAUAAAAAAAUUAUGACCUCUUUCAAAAGACAACAACAUCAAGUAAUUAUUUUUAAGCUAAAUAAAAUUAUUAUGAACUAUAAAUUUUUCAAUGUUUAACUUAUUUGUAUAUUAUAUUCAAACUCGAGGUCAUGUAUUAAAUAUUCAUAUAUAAAUUGAUUCAAGUGUUUAGUAAUAAACUCUAUUUAUUCUUAUAGUAAUCCUAGUUGUAGACAAGUUGUUCUUGUGUGACAUGGAUAUAAAUAACCAUGUGGAACUUGUUUUCCCUGUUUUUUUUUUCUAAUAACAUGUGCCUAGUUCAAAUUUGUUGGCCCCUUUCUAAACAUUAUCUGGGCCCAAAUUGGAAAUGAAUAGUACUCCAGUCCUAUGUAAAAUGAUUGACUUCUGUUGACUAAUUUUUAUUUUUGUAUAUAAUAUUCUUCUUCUUUGAGAUUGAUCAGAAGCAUGCCUAAUUCCUAGUUACAAUUUUAAUAUGAUAAAAAAAGUGACUCAUUCUUUUUGCAUUAAAAUUAUAAAGAAGACUAAUUCCCUAUAUAACCCUAUAUGUUUUAGUUAGAUCUUUGCAUUAAUUAUGCACUUUAAGUUUCACUUUUCCAAUUCAUGGCUUGUGGUACUUCUAAGAAUGAUGAUACAAAUCAUGAAGCAGAAAAGAAAGAGAAUAUAAUCACAUUGAAAAGUUUGUCUGGUGGACUAUUGAUUUUUCUGUAACGUGUAAUAUUGUGUCAUGUACAAUGUUGACUAUAUAUGCAGAUUACGUGCUCAAAUUAUUACUUACAUGAAUUCAUAAACAGUAGCCAUGCGCAUAAUGUUUCAUUGCUUCGUCGCUUUAAAACAUGUAACAUGUAAUUAAAUUUAUUAAUUCCAAGCACUAGUCUGAAAAUCUAAAUUUUACGUUGUAAUUUAUUCUUAGCUUUAAUAACUUAAAGUUUGACAUCAAACUAUUCCUAUUGUUAACCUUUUAUUCUUUAUAUUUCUUCAAAUUUACUUUAAUUGUUCUAUCAGAUAUAUUCAUUGAUAAUUUAUUGUUGAUUUAAUUUACCCACAAAUAAAUUCGUCAGUAAUUUAUUUGAUGAAAUCAAAUUUAUAUUUGAGAUUUUCUUUUCCUAAUUUUAUUUUUUGCUUUUUUUAAAAAUAGUCUACUUUGUAACAUUAUUUCUUUGUAUCAUUAGUGUAGGGCGGAGGUGAGUGGAUUCAAGUUCUGAUCGGGUUGUAGUUCAAUGGGAAAUAACCUAUGUUAUAAUGUUUUGCAAUUUGGAGAAAGGAUACAAGGGACACCUUGAGUUUGUAUGUUCUCAUAAAAGAUAUAAUAUUAGAUUUUUUUUUUUCUUGUGGAUGGGUAUUGGUACGUGGACAUUGGGUAUGUACGGAUUAUGGUAUCAAAGUUUGUUGUUAUUGGUCGUGUGGUCUCUAAUUACUUUCUUACUUGGUAUGGUUGUUUCAGAGGUAGGGCAUUUACGUUAAAUGUUUUCCAUGGUGUUGGGUGGGGUUACCAUGGUUUUUGUCAUUGCUAUCACAAUAUCUCCUAUACCAUCUUCCUAUACUGUGAUGGUGUGCUCAAGAAAGUCUUGUUUUUGUAAGUAGGUCCUAUUUUAGUAAUUAGGAGAGUGUUGUAGGAUGAACAAGACAUGUUUUGAUAAACAAGAUCAUGGAAGUCUUGCUUUGGAAAGUGUGCCCUAUUUUAGUAAACAGAUCAAGUUGCUCGAGUAUGGAAGAGAACAUAGUAAAAGAUGGUGAUAACAUGGUUUGCUUGGAUUAAAGUUGGUUUGGCAUGGUUUUGUUGUGUGGUGAUUUAUUUGAAAUAAGGGCAUAAUGAGGUUAGAUAUCAAUUUUAAUUAUAUCAUUAUAUGUUGUUUUGAUGUUUAUUUUGUUAGUUCACCCUUACGUUUUGUGGUUGUGGUUUCCGCUUUGAUGACCAUAUUCAUACGAGAGCAGAUAAUAUUACAAAGGUUGAUGUUGAUGGUACUAAUGUGAUGUAGAAUGAGAGACGGUGGAGAAUGAUUCUCGAAGUUUCCAAAAAGUUAUUUCUCUUUUUAAUUAAUCAUAAGGAGUCUUGGUACAUUAAUUCCAGUUGUAAUUGGAUUAUUUAUUGUUAUAGCAUAAACUUUAUUAUUUUUAUGACAACAAAAUAAAUUUUUAAAUUUUCACUACAUUGAGGUGGUAUCAUAAUUUUAUUUAAUUGAUGUCUUUUGUGUUUGGUUGGGUUAGAUUUUAAUAGGGUUGUUUCCUUUUGUCAAAGGUUAUUGCGGUAGUAAUGUUUUAACUUAUAUGUUUGACUUGCAUUUUGGGCUUACAAUGUUGAUAUUAGUUGUCUUGCUUCUAAACUCCAUAUUGUAAUUUCUUACAAAACAAAAUCAUGAUCCCUACAAACUGCAUUGUUUAUGUUUUCUAAAACUUAUAUAAGAUAAAUUGUGAGUAUGGUGGACGAUUUAAAUGGGGAUUGUAUUUUGCAGAAAGAUGAAUAAAUAAGUCUUGAUCGUUUAAUUGCUUAUAAUUCAAGAUAUCUCUUUUAUAUCUUUUGUUUUGAUUUUUAGGCUAGUUAAAUAGCUACCUUUAAGAUGAUUUAUAAUUAAGAGAUGUUGGAAAAAGAAUGGAUUAGUUUUAACACCUAGAAGAUGAAUUGGUGAAAAUAAAAAAUCAGAAUCUUUUCAAAAUCUUUUUCACAAAGUGUAAACCUUUCAAAAGUUUCUUGAAUCUCGUAUGAAAAAGAUAAAUCAAUGCAGCAAAAAAUAGUUGACGAUACUGAAAAUAUAGUCGACUUUAAAAUAAAGAGAUCAAGGAUAGAGAAAUUCAAACAUAGUUUUUAUACUAGUUCGACCAAACUGCCUACAUCCAGUGUCCUUCCUCUAACCGAAAGCAAAUGCACUAUAAUGGUCAAGGUUUUUACAACAAGGUUUCUAUAGGGACCUUCAUGUCAAAAUAUAAAACACCUCUCUAACCCUCUAACCAAAUAUAGGCAUACAACACCUAAAAAACAACAAGAUAUCCCCUCUCCUACAGUCUUUGUCAACUUUGAACAAUCCUCAAAGUUUUCCUAGCUCUUCCUGUAAUCACAAUAGGGCAGCCACAAUCUUCACAAGAUUGAGAGAAGUAGAUGAUCACGUUUCCAGUACACCUCAAUGUGCAGUAUGAUCAAGCCUUUCUUUCAACACAACCUUGCUCGUUAAAUAACUAUCCAAGAGAGAUCUCCACGGUCUUCUUUAUAAGUUCUUAGAGCUUUUCACAAAGAUCAAAAUCUGAAACAAUAGAAUGAAAUUGCUAGAAUAACCAAAGUCCCUGUGUAAAACAGAAUCACGUCUAUUUAUAGUUUUCUGUAAAAAAGACGCUCUUGUAGUCGACUUCACUACUAAUCCAGUCGACUUCAGUCAAACAAUUAAAAUAGUUAAAACCAAUUAGUAGCAGUCAGACCAACCAAAUUGAUUGGGCAUUUAAUUCAGUUGACUUGCAAUUAAUGCUUUGUCAAAUAGACAAUAUAUAGCUGUUAUAGUUCACAAACAUUAACAGAAAUUCAAAACAUAACUAACUAAGUCGAGUUGCCUACGUAGACAGUCGACUAUGUCACUUCAAUGUAGUUUUGAAAAUCUUUCCUUUGCAAAAAUACUCACAACACUGUUUUUGAAAAUUUGUGCAAAGUCACGAGUUUUAAUCGACUUACUUCAUAAUGAAGUUGACUUAAAACUUGCAGUUUUGCCACACAAUAUAAGUUCAACCAAGUGCAUGUGGUUUUCUUUUCUAAACACAUAUGUAAUGAAAUCACAGAAGAUAUCUCAUGUAAAGAUCAGUGAAUAUGCACACAUAUACAAAAUUAACACAAACAUGUUCUUCAAGAAUUCAUACACAAUAAAGUUUUGAACAUGUAACACAUAUCAAUACAUGUGUUAUUAAUAAUGUGUUGUCAUCAUCAAAAACCAAAAAUACUGUGAGAUUAAGGUUUAGCUAAACCAGUACUUCCCUUAUCAACAAUCUCAACAAGAGAUGUGGGACCUAAACCCUGUUUAAACAUUACAUUUCAUAUUUAAGAUCUCUGAGUCCUAUAUCCCUUAGUUUACUCAACCUACUUCCUCUACUACACCUACAUAGGCAAACCUAAGGCUUCCUUUGUAUUUGCAUUAAAUUGCAUUUCUUCUUUAAGAUACAAUUUAUCUCUUAGUUUGAAUUUUGGGUCUUAUCUUGUAAAAAACAAGUGGCAAUCCUUCCUUAUUAUUCCAUAUCAUGUAAGAACUAAACAAAUAAGAACAAAAAUGAAAUUAAAAGGUAUAAAAUGAAAAGGAGAAAAGGAAAAGAAACUUAGGAAAUUGAAGCCACGCUGUUUGGAGGGAUCCAAUAUAAGUGCAAGGGAGGAUCAUAAUUUGUUCUUUAAAAGAUAAGUCUCAAAAUAAUUUAGACUAAAAGAUAUAUUAUCUUAAAGAAAAAAUGUAAUUUAAUGUAAAUCGCUUUAAUUUUCAUUUAGUGAAAGGUUUAUUACUACAAAUGAGGCCUUAGGUUGCUUAUAUAGGUGUAAGAGAGGAAGUAAAUUAAGUAAAUUAAGUAAAUUGAAAGAUGUGGAACUUGGAGAUCUUAAAUUUGAAAUGGAACGUUAUAAACAGGUUUUAGGUACCACAUUUCUUAAUUCUACAUUACCCUAAAGAUAUAUAAGCUACCCAACUAGUGUAAAAAUCAAAACUAAAGUUAUAUCAUAGAUAACUUGAAUUACAAGCAACUAAAAGAGGAAAACUUUUUUAUUAUUUUUUCUUUUUAGUCCAAACUAUUUGGAGUCGCAUAUUGAUUGCACUUUAAAGAAAAAAAGGAUCUAUAAGUAUCUCUACAACCAAACUAAGGAACUAGCAAGGCAAAAUACAAACCUAUGAAAAUCUAUGCUAAUAAAGGCCAAAAUACAUGUUAUAAAACCUAUUCUAUUCUUUUCAUUUCUUCAUGUUUUCCUUAUGUCUUGAGCCAUUUAUGAUCACAUCAGAUCAGCCCAAUGAAAAGGGGUGAACUCAAAAGCUAAUCUGAGGUUGUUCACAAAGGGUGAACUCAGAAUUAUAGGUAGGGGUCAAAGACCCUGUUAUUUUCUUCAUUCUGUCUUUCUUGUGGACAUCUUGGUGCCCUCGUAAUGUUGUGAGAUUGCAUUUUAGUGCAUUCUGUUUUCAAGUCAUAGCAUGCUUUGUAUUGAUUACAAAAUGUAGUUUUAAAGUACAUGGACAUAAGGGUCUAUAUAAGAAAAUCCAGAUUUAGAUAAAGCCGUGUCUCAUGGAAUGUUUGCAAAUAAAGAAACUGUUUUUGGCACUGUAGUAGAUGCACGUCAAACUUCUUAGUAAAAAAGGAUUCACUGUGAUUUAUUUAAGGUGAUAUCAUAUGUCUUGCUUCUAAAGUAUGCUUUAGUAAUUGUUUUUACGUUGCAUGUUGCUGUUGAACGUGGAGUAAAAUUUUGAGUAGUAGACAGAGAAGAAAAGUGGAUCCCCUAUCACUUUCUUAUGAUUCAAUAGUGGUUUUCAUACAAAUAGUAGCGAACACACUAUAAACUGAAGAACUUUGUAAUUAAAACAGCUUAAACUCAAACCAAAUCUACUCUAGGAAAGCAAUAAAAUCUACCAAACUAGCUUUGUAGUGAAGGCAGGUUCAUAACAUUAGAGAGAAGGAAAACUCAGAACUGUAAAAUCUGGAAAAGGUUUUCUUAUUAGUCACUAUGUGGUUUUCAUCCAUCUCUAAUUUUGAUAUUCGCAUUCCGGUUCUGCAACACCCCGGACUCAUCAUUUCUAAUAGCAUAUGGCAUAUUACUGCAAUAUCUUCGCACUGGUUUUUUAUUACAUUAGUCUACUACAUCAUUUAAAUUGAAGAACUUUAGUUCAAAGUCAAAAGGAAUAGAUAAUUUGGUAGAAAGAAAAAAUGAGGUAAAUUAGGAGUUAUGAUUGUAUUCUGUUGAACAGUACGUAGCAUCAACUUAUGGGCUUUGCAAGUUUAUUGGAAGACAGGAUAUGAAUGACAUAGCACGGGGGAAUCUAUUGAUUGAUUUUCUUCACUCUCGGUUCUUUGCUUAUUGGUAUAACAAUCAAAGAAUAUUACACCCCGAUUGUACUUUAGUUUAAGUCAUAGGGAAAAUUCUCAGCUAAACUUUAAUGGUUGCAGAAGAGUAAUAUAUAUAUAUAUAUAUAUAUAUAUAUAUAUAUAUAUAUAUAUAUAUAUAUAUAUAUAUAUAUAAAGACCAUAUCAAUUUGAAUUGUAAUGUGUAACAGCAAUAGGUGGUAUAAAGUGAAAAUAGAAACUUCCUCAUUUCUCUUUAUGCAAGUGAUAAAAUAAAUUGGAGAAAGAAUGAGUGUGUGAGAGAAAAAGAAUGGAGGAUUCAUGCAAGUUGUGGUAAGAUGCAUUGUUUCAUGUGUGGGGUCGGGAAUGAAUAGGACACUCCUUCACACUUUCUAUCGCGCUUGUUUGGAUAAUUUUGUUCGUCUUUUGUUAAAGUCCUUUCUGGUUAAUGUUCCAAACCGCUCGAGGAUACUUGUCAAAGGCAUUUCGAUGCUUAAGUCAUUAAUUAAUCCAGACGAUGGUUAGAGCAAAGUCAUAAAUUCACAAUAAAUAUGAUCACUUACUUUUUAUCUUUGACCUCUAUUUAUAGUUUUAGAGAUGGGCUUAAGAUUAGCAAAACCCUAAUCACGACCCCAAUCUCGGUCCAUUAUCUACUAAUUAACACUUACUCUUAACCUUGUCUAUUUGGUCUUUACCCACAUUCGGCCGAGCAAUCAUCGUCUUAUUUUGUUCAAUUUCAUGGGUUCAGACAUAUUCGAUCGGUCAUCCCUCAAUGGCUCUUUCUGCCCGGUCUUAGCUAUGUUGUCAUCUGGCCAUACAGUACAAAGGCCUCCCAAGCCCUAGCCAACCCUGGGUGGCGUUGGAUUUGAUACAUGGGUGGUGUGGAGUAGGUCUCGUGGCUAUGGUUGGAGCUUCCCCAUACGACGUGAUUUGAAUUUGUGGUAGUGGUGGGAAGACACUUGUCUUAUUAAUUAUGUGUUGUCAUCAUCAAAACCAGAAGAUCUCUGAGAUUGUAAGGUUUGGCUAAAUAAGUGUUCCCUCUAUCAAAAAUCCCAACAACCUUCAACAAAGAAAGGUCAAACCUUCAACACAAAAGAAAAAGGACACACCUUGAACUAAGAGUACAGAGAGAACAGAGGAUUGGAGAGAGAACGGAGAGUGGAGAAAGAACAACAAAGAAGUUGAAUUAUAGAGAGAGAAUGAACCCUCUUUUUCUGAAUGAAAAAAGCAAGGGUAUUUUGGAAUUCAUAAGUGUAAUAUGAUUACAUUUUCCCACGUUACCUUUUUCAAAUAAAAAAUUUAUUUUAACCUUCUCCAAUACUGUUUUUAGACAUGGCAAUUGUGAAAAAGUUAUAAAAAAAAGGUUUAAUGUCUCGAUAAGUCCUUAUUUUCGUCCUGAAUCUCAAUUAGGUCCCUUUUUUUUCGACUUCUCGAUUAGGUCCUUAUUUUUGUAAAAUUGAAUCAAUUGAGGGUCUACCGUCAAAUUAAACAAACUGUCGUUUAAAUUUACUGACGUGACAUUAAAAACGAAUUUUAUAUUAAAAAUUUGAAUUACACAAGUGUGAAUUCAAAUUUAAGAAAGGGCAAAGUAGGCAAAAUCUAAAAUUUAAGUGCAGCCCCUAACUUCAAUCUUCCAUGUUCAUUUCAUUCAACUCAAAAUUAUAUUCUGUUCAUCAGCAUCCUUCCCAAAUUCCAUCAACGUUUCCCUGUCCUUAUCAUACAGCGGGCACUCAUUCUCCAACUAACAAAGUUGGACUACCAACUUAUCAAACUCCAGUGCCAGUCUAUGAUUCUCCUCCACGAAUUUCUUCAAAACUUGCACUCGCUUCAAACUGCUCUAAAAUACCCAGAAUUCCCAUCAUCAAAUUUUCAAAAAAAAGAAAAUGAAAGAUAAAGAUUCAAAAGACCAAUCUUGCAUAAAACAAAAUCAAAUGCAACCAAAACAAAAAGUAAAAAGCCUUCCAAUUCCAACAUUAAUAAACAACCAGUACAUGAUUGGAUUAAUGUGAGUAUUUCAACAAUUUACUGAAGCUUCACAAUUGAGAUUUCCCAAAUGCAGAUUAAAAAAUGAUGAUAAAAGCAAACAAAGAGGAGCGGACCUCACCUCGUCCACAUUAAAAUCCCGAUCAAUUAACCGGUGUCCUGAGUUCUCCAAUUCAGAAACCCUAACGCUCCUUCGAGUUUCUUUCGACACUUUCGCGACGGCGGAGUCCAAAUCCUUGCGGAGGAGCGUCCCUCCCAUGAUGAAUCCCUCUUGUUCGAAGGCAAAGAGCGUCUUGGACUGCGACGGAGAAGAACAAAAUGGAAAGGUGAGACCUUGAAGGAAAUGUAAAUGUUAUUGAUGGUGGCCAAGUCGUUGAAGGAGAUGACGUUGAAUGGAGGAUGCAGAUGAUGUUGACUGGCUUCAUUACUGAGAAGGAGUUUUAGGGUUUUGAAAGAAAAGGGGUUAAUGGAAGAAGAAAAGAGGUUUGUCUUUUUUGCCCCUCUGAACAUAUUUGAUUUAACUUUGCUUAAUUAUUUUUUAAUAUAAAAAUUAAUUCAAAUUUAUUUUUAAUGCCACAUAAGAUAAAUUUAAACGGUCGUUUGUUUAAUUUAACGGCAAGUCUCUAAUUCUUCAAUUUUACAAAAAUAAGGACCGAAUUGAGAAGUUGAAAAAGAAAUGGACCUAAUUAAGAUUCAGGGCAAAAAUAAGGACUUACGGAACUAUUAAACCUAAAAAAAAAAGUUGUUAACUUAUCGCGAUCCACAAUCAAUAAAUCUCCUUUAACACGAAAACUACCUAAAAGCAAUAUCUAUAACUUAAUGUAGUAAGGAAUUUUGACCAAUAAUUUUUUAGACACAAAGUAAUAUGCUUAAACUAAGUAUAAUUUCAAUGUCUAAUCUCUAUGCAAACUAGUAGAGUCCAUUCUCUACCUAUUGUAAGGUAGUGUGGUGUUUUUAUUACACCACUUUUACUUUGCACGUGGGUAAAUGAUAUAGAACAAUUAUAUUUUUUGUAAUCACCAACAAGACCAACCCCUAACUCUGCUAUCAAAUAAAAAAGGACGGAUCUAACAAUGUGAUUAAAGGAAUUUGAGUAACCUCCACCGCUAACUCAACAUGCAAGAGUUCAUUUUCAAAUGUAUUUAGAAGUCUAUAUCACAUAUAUUCAACUAUAACUUCAAUUACUCAAAAAGCAACUUGAGCUGUAAGGAGUGCAAUGGGAAAACUCCAACCUAGAAAUCAAAACAAUAGAAACAAAAAUACAACCAAACUUAGGCAAAGACUAAAUUAGUUGAGAAAGUUAUUUUUCUCAAUUUAUAAAGUAUAAAAGAAAAAUUAAAUGGAUUUUUGAUGCAAAAAAGAAAUUUUAAUUUGAAAAGAAAAUUCAUAGGAUAGAAAUGGUAUUUUAUCAUGCUAGUAUAAGGUAGGAUAUGAUUAUGAAAAUGGAGCAUUGGAGUGAGACACUAAAAGAAAUAUUAGAGAAAAACAAACGUUUUUGCAUGCAUGAGAAAGAGAGAAUGAGGGGGAAGUUUUACAAUUUUUUAACUCAAAAAUUUGGGUUCCAUCUUUAAUUUUGUUUAUAUUUUUUUACAUUUACCAAACUAAAUUAUAUAUGUAUGGUCACAAAUGAAAUUAGUAAAUUUAGGAAUAAAUAUAAAAAUCACAUACUUUCAAAAAUAGAGAAACCAAAUGUCUCACCCGGUUUAUUCAAUCAUAAAUUGUAAUAGUUGGUACCUAAUGUUUUAACUAUAAUGUUUUAAUUAAUUAAAAAUAUAAAAAUAUUUAAUAACUUUAACUUUUAUAUUGAAUACUUCUUCGUUUAAAAAUAUGAUUUCAAAAUAGUAAUGUUUUCCCUUCCGAACAUAAAAUUCACUUCAAUAGUUUUCUAAAAUAAUACAGAAUUAUUCACUGUUUUUAUAAUCAUAUUAAAGAUUCGUGUAUUAUUUUAUCUUAAGUCCGUAAAAUAUCAUAUCGGUCGUUUAUCGACGAAAUAGGCGAAAACUGGAAAGCAAAGACUGAAGGGAUAUGUUUUGCUUAGCGAUGAAGGAAAUCUAUAUUACAAAUAAAUUAAAAAAACAAUGUCAUAAUCAAUUAAAUAUAAGAAAAAAAUAGUAAGAACCUGAUUCUAUUUUAUUUUCAUUGAAUUAACAUACCUAUAUAUUUUUGUCUGUGUCUGAAGUAGAUUCUAUUUAUACAUUCUACGAAUCUAAUACUGAUUCUGUGUUAACAUCAUACUUCAUUUUUGUCUGCCAUAAGCAGAUUCUGAUUAUAGCUGCAAUUGCAAAUAUAACAUGAUUGAGGUUAUACUUGCAACAUAACGAAAUACUUUCCCAAAAGGGCUCUUAUUUUCGUAUUGGCCCCAAAGGUUUUGGAAUAACAGCCCAUUACAAAAGAUACUUUAUUCUUUCUUUCUUCAAUCACUUUUAUUGCAGGAGGGCAGUUUGAGAUCUAUUUAGGUUAAACUCAUUCGGAGGUAUCUAUUUUUGUGUUUUUGUUUCACUUACAUUUCUGUCUUUUAUUCUUUCACCAAUUAGAUUCUUAAGAUUGAAAAAUUGAAAGAAUUUGACCUUUGCCGUUAAAUCAAGCUAACAGGAUUAACUUUCAGCUUACAUGUAAGGGUGAGGUGGAUAAAUAUGAUCACGUGGCGUGCACAGAAGGGUUUGUUUAUGUACGUGGCAUUAAAUUUAAAAAGUAGGGGUUUUGUUAAACAUUUUAAAAUUAGGGUUAUUUUAAAAUACAAUUAGGAUUAAAUCUCUUUCAGUAGUGGAGUGGUGGUUCCAACAGCACCGACUCGUCAUCACUGGCGAUGUCUACGGCUCAUCCUCAGUUGCGCCUCGGUGCUACUUCUACCGGUCUCUCCACCGUCAAGUGCAUGCAAAACGUGGCCGCCAAAGCCGUCGCGCAACGCCUCACUCGUGUCAUGGCAUCUCAGAACGCCAUCAUCGACGAAGGUGAAGAUGACGAUGAUCUCGAUUUCCGGUUCAGCGCUCCGCCUCCUACAUCUAUUUCUUCUUUCUCCAUCAACGCCAUCAGUAACAGGAGCACCAACACAAAUGCCUCCACUAUUCCUCCGAUUUUGGUUGCCAAGCCUAACAGAUCUACUUCUCCUACGAUAACUCUCUCUGCAAUUCGACACUGUUGGGUAUGUCACUGUUUGUCCAGAAUUUCAGGAAGAAAAUAGAAGAUAAACGUCACGCUAGAGAGAAAAAAUCACCAUGGUCGCGAACCGAACAGUGAGAAGGAAUUCAAAGUGAGCGCGUUGAAUGAAGAGAAAAAAAAAUAAAGUGAAUAAGAUUAACUGAAUAAGGAAUCCACCUUGUGGUCGCGACUACGGUAUUUGAACUGGCGAGGGAAAUAACGAAGGACGUAACUAAGGCCGUCAUCGGAGAGAAACAUCUCUGGUGUUAGUUUGGGCCUUGUUCGAGGAAGUUUCUUGGGCUUUUCGGUUGUGAAUCUGGGCUUGAAAGAAAAGGAAGAAGGAUUGGGAGUGGGAUUGGUGGAGGCGUUAGGGUUUGGAUUGGAAUUGGGAGCAGAGAAAGGACAGUCUCGUGACCAAUGACCUGGUCUGCCACACUUGUAACAGCCUGUGGCGGUUGCUGUUCCUUUUCCUCCAUUUUUUCACUUCUCACUGAUCACUCUCCUUUCCCAACACACCAUCUAUCUGUGGUGCGAUGGUGCUCCACCUGGACAGGAUAGAAUGCGGUGAUAGAGCUACGUGGUACAAGCAACUGUUAUCGGCAAUACUGCAGCAAUGAUUUUGAUGAUUGAGUGUCUGGUGCAGGAGGUGGUCGUCGGCGACGGUGUGGUAGCGAUCUAGGUGGCGCGGCGCAAAUAGUGAAGUAAGGAAGUUUUAGGGUUUAUGGAAGGAAGAAGGAAGAAUUUUCAGUUAUUUUAAAAAAUUUAUUCAGAAUAAAAAUUAAAUAAUACAAAUAAUUAAUAAUAAUAAUAAUAAUAAUAAGGUUAAGAAACACUAAUUUUUUAAUUCUUUGUUUAAGAUACUGACACGUGUAUAAUAAAACCAACGUAACAGGUUCUGUGCACACCACGUCACCAUAUUUGUCCACCUUACCCUCACAGGUAAGAAAAAAGUUAACCCCGUUAACUUGAUUUAACGUCAGGGGUCAAAUUCAUUCAAUUUUCCAAUCUUAAGGACCUAAUUGGCAAAAAAAAAAAGAUGAGGAUGCAAGUGGGACAAAAACACGAAAAUAGGGACCUCUGAAUGUGUUUAACCAUCUAUUUACCUGUAUUGAUGUUAAUUGAAGAGAAGGUGCUUAUUAAAUAAGUCUACUAAGUUCAUGGGGUACCAUAAUUGAGAUCUGGGACACUAGAUUGGUCGAAGAACCUUUAAUGAUUGGAUUGUGAAUAGGUGUAUGGUAAGUAAAAGUCUAUAUAAAUAUUAUAAAUAAAAAGUUUAAGGUAAUUGUUCACUUUUACUGCAACAUUUAGUAUAGCCUUUGGAUCAAUACUAAUUUAAGCAUCAGAGUGUAAUCUAUAAGUACACUUCGAACGAUUUGGACAACUUGAGACCUUAAGUAUUGAAAGGAGCUGAAAAUUGAAGUUAACCUAAGACCGAGACAUAUAGGAAAUGGAAAUGCUUGACCAAUCUAACAGAAACAUUUUUGUACCCACCGUGGGACCGAACGAGCACUUUUUUGCUGCUAUGGUAAUCACAAAGAACAUGACAAACAAUGAAGUACUAGAGGAGCAGCAUGUGGAUCCUAUGGCUAUGAUGCACGACAUGAGAAGGGAGAUGGAGACUAUGAGAAGGAAGCAUGAAGGAGAGAUGACAAUUUUGCACACAGAAAACACACUUAUGAAACAAAAACGGAAACUAAGGGACAUGUACAAUCCACCCCAACUCAACUUGGACCAACCAAACAACCAAGAAUCGAGCAUGAUCGAACAGUUCAGAAGAAAAAUUAUGGAGCUAGUAGAGAUCACAACCCAUCUGUCACUGUCACGGUAGACAUGUCUGGGUGCACCCGUUUACUAGUGGAAUCAUUAAGACCCCUUUACUAGACAAUUGGAAGAUGUCAACGUUUGACAAGUAUGAUGGAUCCACGAAUGUUAACGAGCACAUCAACAUUUGUCUAACGCAGUUGGUGUUAUUCACGUCAGAUGAUAUCAUUUAGUGCAAGGUAUUCCCAACAUCACUAAAAUGAGCCAUCCUCGAGUGGUUCAAGCUUCUAUCUGUCAACUCCAUCGGCUGCUUCGCCACAAUUAGAACGAAAUUUAGAACAUAAUUCACCACUAGCCAACAACAUCAUCUAACGUACAUAGCGCUUGUCAACAUUCGACAAUACAAAGAUGAAAUCCUCUGAACAUUCAUAGAUCAAUUUGGAAAGAUAUCUUCACAAAUAAAGGACCUAAGUCAUAAAGUGCCUAUGCAUCAGAUAAUUCACCAAAAAAACUUGUGGGAUCGUUCCCCAAUAGCCUGUUAUGCAGUCUACCACAAAUUUAGACGAUUUGAUAUAGAGAGUAGCAAAGUACAUGCAGCGAAAGGGCUUGAAAGGCUUUCGAAAGCAAAUGCGACUAUAAAGAGCAAAUGUAAAUAAGGGUACAAAUAAAAAAUCAUUCACCAAGAAUCAAGACUCAAAGUUACGGAGUCAAUCAGAGGUCCCCACUUCCAUAACCACACACCAUCGAACAAUGGUUGUUCGAAAAUCCUUUGGGAAGCUCUAAACACAUACUUGUUACCAUCACCUAGAAGAAAGGCAACCCUGUUGAACCUUGAUAGUAAUAAACAUUGUUAAUAUCAUCAUCACUUAGGCCAAAACAACGAUGAGUGUCUACCGCUAAAAUAUAAAAUAGAAGAGUUCAUCCAACUUUGACAGUUAAAGAAGUUUGUCAAAAUUGAUUAAACCCCUACCAUAGAGAAGAACCCCUAAAUGAGCAGUAUCAAUGUACAAAUAGUAUAAGGAGCAGCCUAGGUGAAGAAGCCGAAGUAAGAACAAGAGUCGGGAUGGUCCAUCGAGGGAAACAAUCAACACAACCUAAGGAGGUUUCGCUUGAGGAGGGCACACAAUAUUUUCCUAAAAGAAUCACAUUUGAGCAAUUAAAAUGAUGAAUCUCGUAGAGAAGAGAGUUAGAAGCACGCCCUUCAUCACAUUUUCUAACGAUGAUUAUAAAGCGCCUGACCCUGACCAAGACGACUUGAUGGUCAUCUCAAUCCAGCUAGCCGACUAUGCUAUAAGCAAGAUUUUGGUCAACCAAGGCAGACAAGAAGAAGAAGGAGUUGUGCUUACAACCUUCACGGCUUCCCCCGACCGAUUAGCAGAUUCCUCUUGCUCAACAAGUUCAACAGCAGCUUUGAAGAAAUUCUUCUUUAGAUUGUGGGAUGCCAUAAUCUCUGAAAGACAACAAAAAAUUUAGCUAGGUUAAAAUCAAGUCAAAAACAAACGACAAAAGGAAUGCCAUAUCGAACACCUCAGUACUGAGGUCCUCCCCACCAAGGCAAUUGAUUAUCUUUGAGGAAGGGAGCUGGCGAGGCAAGUCAUCAAGAACAUUGAGUGCCUCCUGCUCGGCCGGAGUCAUAUCUGACUGUAACCAGGAAGUCACCCAAGUAGGGUCUUCGGUCUAGUACAAAGAAAAUUUUGGUCACUCGUCUUCCCCAAAGAAUAGUAGAUGGCCAAACUCGGUUAAUUCUACCUUAAAAAAUUUAUCAUUGAAGCCCUUGAAUGAAAGAGAAUAAAGCUCAAAUAAGGCUUUCCCUUGCUCGAAGAUCGGGGCGACCCAACCGCGUUUCGGAAUAUGUCAGGUCCAAAAGUAGUGAAGAAAAAGAGCGCGGGUGUAGGUGUGAGGUCCAACACUUAGCAAACGAUGGCGAAGGCCUGAAUAUACCCCUAGUUAUUUGGAUGCAGUUGGAAUGGGGCAAUAUUUAGAGUACGGAGGACGUCCAUUUGAAAAGAGCUAAACGACAGAUACACAAACAUCUCAUGGAACAUAUAAGCGUAAGCGAAGAAGAAGUCACUCUUACUCCCUCCUUUUCCAUGAAACACACGGUCAUUCUCCUCACGGGCCAUUAACCUAAAUAGAGGACCAAAAUCCAUUGACCGCAACACAUAGUUACAAUCAGUCCAGUCCGCCAACUGACUCAUGUCAUGAGACGCUUCAAAAGUAGGUGGAGAACUCACUCACAUCAUGAGACGCUCAGUCGUAGCCCGCGACAAUGGGCAAAGCUCCCACCUGCUUGUUCUCCUCCUUAGCACCCUCCAUAAUCACCCCUCCAUAGACAAAGGUCCACUGACCGUUGAACAUAACCUCUUUAUUUUCUUCUACAAUGGAUUCAUUACCAUCACAACCACCAUCCCGCUCGGUUGACUCCAUGAAGGAGGAAGAAGACUCCGAGCCCACCGAGAAUGAGACCCCAUCAUUGCCCCACCCGCCCCUUCCCGAAGACUCCUCAGACGAAGAGAGGUUCAUGGUAGCCAUUUAUUACAUGAAUUAAAAAAAAGACAAAUAACACUUUCAAACGUUGGAUGAAAAUACGUGAAAAUUAUACAAUGGGUCUUUCCUAUUUAUAGGCAGCAAAUGGAGGACCCAAAGAUCGUCCUAACUGUUGGAUGUAAAGAAAUCCAACGGUCUGAUUCAAAGACUCCAUAACUUCCAUCCAGCAUGAGAAACGAAAAAUCACAUCCAACGGUUAAGAACAGCUGACCUUGCACAUUCCUAUCAACGCAUGAAAUAGAACCAAACGCCAAUGGUAACAAUUUCAAAAUCAAGGCAACACCCCACCCAAACCAUGCACGCUCACCAAACAGUUAGUAAAGUCCCUUGCACAUUCCUAUCAACGCAUGAAAUAGAACCAAACGCCAAUGGUAACAAUUUCAAAAUCAAGGCAACACCCCACCCAAACCAUGCACGCUCACCAAACAGUUAGUAAAGUCCCUUGCCAAACAUGUUCGUCUCGAACUUGGGAGUCUGUGUACUGUAUGAACCGACCGAUAUACGUAUACCGGUAGACCACACGAUUAAUCACCUUUAGAAACGCAUUACAACCAAAUUAAACGAACGGUCACUUACAACACUCAUCGUCGUUAGGUAUAAAGACUUUAGAUUAACAAAGUAAAAACAUACUUAAACAAUGUUAGGCUUACACUUAUCCAAAGAUAAAGACAUAGGUGAUUACAUUUGGCAUUUGAGACUUAAUUAUAACCAUUCGAUAAGACUAACUUGAAUAUCAAGAGUACAUUUCUCCUCAGAAUUUUGAGGAGAAUAACAACAUAUUAUAAGAAAGUUAAAGAGUUAAUUGAAGGCAACAAACUAGAUUAGUAUAUAUGGAAACACAUUAUUUAAAUUGUCACUCAAAACAUAUCUUAAUUACGUUUCCUCACUUCCGCAUCAAUUUAGUUUUUUUAUCAAUUUUUGUUUAAAUAUUUAGUCGAAACAUAUUCAAAAGUUACACAUUCAAGAUGAAAAGGAAAUAAUUUAAAAAAUAACCAAGAUAGUAAAAUAAAAUUUAUUGUGGAUAUGGAAUUGCUUGAUUUGAUUUUAACCCACAAAUAACACCAAUUCAAUCAAAUCCAAGUUAGUGUAAUGAGUGGAUUUGAUGAAACCUCAAUCACAACAUUGUCCAUAAUAAGAACACGAGAAAGAAACUAAAAUUUAAAAAGCACAGCAAAACUUCUUGCCGGGGAGGAAGAAAUGACAAACUUUGGUAUUUUCUCAUUGAAAUGGUAGACAAUAAUACAACAACGGUGUAACAUUGGUACAAUAAAGAUAUGUCUGUCACUAUUUGCUGCACGAGGACCUUCAAACUACUUAAUUCAUACAGAAUAUCUUUCCAUUAUGCCCCAAGAGAAAAGAAGAAACAUAUGUACAAGGGUUGAGCUUUUAUGGAACCCCUCCAGAGGGUCUCACUGUUUUGUGAAAGGCCGUGUAUAACAUUUGUGAAGGGAUAAAUCCUGAACUAUUGAGCAUAUAUGUAAUAGGCCAAGUCAAAUAAAAGCCGCAUCUUUCUGUUGUUAGUUUUCAAAUUUGUAUCAAUUGUGGGAUAAGCUUCAAAAGGAAAGAUAAAUCCUGCUGUGAAAAUUGUGGAUUUGAGUUCCCCUGCACCGUCACACUCCCCUCCGUAAAACCCUCCCCAUCACCACCCUUUUUUGGCUUUAUCAUAUCUGCAACUGCUUCGGUUAUUUCUUUAACCAGAUCCACAAUUACUCCAUCAAUUCCCAUUAGAUGUUGCAUGUAAACUGCCUCAGGAACAUUGCUGCAAUGUCAAAUAUAAUCAUGAGCCAAAAUGUUACACCAAACACAUUCUUUUCUCAAGCAAUUAACAAAGGAAAGAGAGUACUAAAAACAAGCAUACUUUAAUUUGCCGUAAGAAAGGAGGCAGAGCUUGGACUCCUUUAUCUUGGUUACUGUAGAAGGAUCUCUAAAAAUCCCUUUAAUUUCUGAGACAAUUCCUUCCAAUCCAUUCUCAACAGAGAGCUUCAUGGCCUCCUCCAGUGAGUUUCUUCUCACAUCUUCAUAGAUUUCACAUCCUCCAUUUGUCAAGAAAAAGACCUGGUUGUUCCCAACAAAUUAACCACAACAUCAGAUCCAGUUAAAGAAAUAAAAUAAUUUCUCAGAACUAAAAAGGCUUAAAGAACUAACAGGGUAGUUGCUUUGCAAUUUCCGGAUGAGCAAGGCUGCAUCUGGCUGGAAUGUUGAGAAGAUAAUAGGUCUAUCCUUGGCGUAUUCAAACACAACCUGCACCCCACAAAUACCAAAGACAAUGAGAGAUCCAAGUCACCACUUUUGAAAUGUAAAACUAAAACAAAACACUCAGUGUCCCCCAUAAACACAUUUUAGGCUUAAAAUAGACUCUCUUAGCGUACCUUUAAGAUGGUUUGAAGGACAUGGACGAGAUAAUCUUGCUCAUAGACAAUGUGAUCAUCGAACUUCAACUCAAUAUUAAAACCAAUAGCGGGUUCCACCUUCACAAAAGCCUCUUGGAGAGUGCAAAGUGAGUCAUCUUGUUCAACAUCCCAUGGCAUUAUCUUCCCAUCUUUUUUCCUUAGCAAAACCUUUCCCUCAUUGCCAUGCUCUCUCUGAGGCCCAUAAGAAAGAAACUCUGAGAGACUCAGCUCUGUGAUCCUCCUUCCAGUUACAGCACCCUGCAAAACACAUUAAUUUCAACGUAACAAACCCAAAAAACUCGACCCAUUGAAAAGAAAAAGAAAGAAAUCAUCAAAGCUAAGCAAAAACAAAAAAACUCACAUUCUCCUCCGAGAAGAUGAAAUCGUCGUGGAAAAUGACGGGGCAAUCAUCUCUCGUCACCUACAAAAAACGUGCAUUUUUUAAUUCGUUUUCUUUUUUUUUUCUAUAAAAAAUGCAACGCGUCAAACAAAAACAAACAAGCAGCCAAUCAGUACCGAACAGACGGUCAAAAAAGGGCCGAGAAAGGCAAAUUAUUUACAGAAAAGCCAUCGGGGUAAAAUAGGAAAAGAAGAAAAGUAGUUGUUGCGAAACACAAGAAGCGAAAACGGUGCGCGCGGUGGAACAUUAAAUUAUUGCAUUGAGUGCAAAAGCAGAAAGAGGAAAAUAAAAGAAAAGGUCACCUGAACGUCAAAUUCUAUGAAAUCGAGAGGAAAAGUAGAGGCGGCGUUGAAGGACAUAAUGGUAUUUUCCUUUAUGGCUCUCAUUCUUCGAUCCGAAGAUUGCAGAACGUUCAUGCCGUUACCCCUGUGGCCGAUGACGACGAACUUGGGCAUCUUGAAGCCACUCCGAGCAAUCUCGACCCCUGCAUUAACGAUUAAAAGAAUGUUAGGAAGAAAAGAUGGGAAGAGGAAGAAGAGAAGGAAAGAGAUGGAAAGAACCGUUGGGGAAGCGGGAGGAGCAGAGGGCGAGAGAGGCAUUCUCGGGGACGUGGUCAAGGGAAGGGACGUCGGUGACAUGGACGGCCUUGAGAGCCAUUUGGGUGGAAGGAAAGAGAGAAAGGAGGAAGGGGAAAGGGAGGUGGUGAUGAGGAGGGCACCGGAUGGUUUGUGGGUGAUGGUGGUGGUGGUGAAGAACAAGGCAUGGUUUGGUCCGCUAUUUAUUGCUUCCACCUACGCCAAAUUCACCCUCCAACGGAUCUCCCCACGAAUAUUCCCCUCCCAUCUAUAUGCUUGGGAUAUUCCCUUGUCAUUUUCCACCCUUUCAAUUUCAACCUACACUUUUUCUUUUUCUAUAUCUAUAUCUUCAACAAAAUAUGUCAUUAUAGAUUUUUUACUAAUUUAUUGGACUAGAUUUUCGUCUAAUAUAUUAAUAAUAAUACCAUAUUUAAAUAAAAUAUUUAUAUAUAUCAUCCAAAUAAGUUCAAAAUAAUAACUGAAAAUUUUGAAACCGAACAAUUUUUUUUUAUACAAAAUUUAAAAACAAACACCUUUUCAACCAUUUAAACCACUAAAACAACCAACAAUUGUUUUAUCUCUUACUACAACUUCCAAAAAUAAAGCAAUUGACCAUGAAUACCUUUCAAUUCCAACAGACUUUGAAGCUAGCAUAAAAAAAUCUUGAAACAAUAUCGGAUAACUAGGAAUUGGUUCGAUCAAUUUCCAGCACAAACUGUUCUAGACACCAAAAAUGGAAGCCCUAUGACCAUUUUAAGAGGAAAAGCUAUACAUCUUUUAAUUGGAUGAUUUUAUUUAUUUUUUAAAUAAAAAAAGUAAUUCUUUAUUUAUGUAAUAAAAUAAAUUAUUAAAUAUUGUUUGUUUAAAAAAAAUAAAUUUCUAAAAUAACACUUGCGUAAAAUUAUAUAUAUUUUGUAGUGAUUGGAAACAAUGCUGUGGUGGUGGCGGGUGAGAAGUGGCUGGGUGACAGCUGGGGUAUUAUGUUAUAGUCGUUGACCUGUGACAAGGCAAACUACAAGGUUUUUGAAGAAAAUCUGUGGUGGGAUCGUCCGAACAUUGCGGACUACGGUAUUUUAUAAGAUAGAGGAUGAAUGAAGAAACAUAAUUGAUCGGGUAUGACGUGGUGACACAACAGCAUGUAGAUAGAUAGAGAAAGGUGGGUGGUUAUAAUUGGAUAAGACUACAAAAAGGAUUUAGGAAUGACUCAUGGCUGCCUUUGCCAAACUAUUAAUUUUAUUUAAUGAUAAAAAUUGAUGUUGUCUUUGUACUUUUAGGAAAACAAACAAAAAGUUAAAAUACGGUGGAAACAAUUUGAUAAAAAAAUUGGAAUUUUUUUUGAAAAUAAUGUAUUUUAAUUAGUUUGAUAUAAAAUAGAAACAUUAGGAAAUAUCACAUUCUAUGUUUUUAAUCUUUACGAAAAUAUUUAUUAGUAUAAUUACGUGGUACAAGUAAAAAUCUUCUAGAUAAACUAGAAUUCUCUAUAAGUUGAAUUGCUGUCUGAUUGAGGAGAAGCGGAUUGAGCUUCAAGAAAAAGGAAAAGUAGAGAAAGAUUCAUGUACAAAAUAAAGUUAAUAAAAAAGUAUAAAUAGUAUAAGUGUGAAUAGGAGAUAUACCUGGAUCAAUAGACACACAUUAAAUCGAUUAAUAUUUCAUAUAUGAUAAUAAGAUCAAGAGAUAAUAUGAAUAAAUUUGGAUUGGACUCAAAUAAACCUUUAUUAUAAAAGUUAUUGGGUUUGGACUUAUUUAGUUUUAAAUAUAUAAUUUUGGUUUAAUAAAUUUUAAAUGAUUUUUAUUUUUAUAAAAUUAAAGUAUACAUGAGAGAGUCCGUGUAUAUAUUAAUCUCACAUGACAUUAAAAUCGAGUUUUAUAUUAAAAGUUUUAAAUGUACAAAGGUGAACUUCAGGGAAGACAAAGUAAAAAAAAUUAAAAAUUUUAAGUGGAUCUCCCUUUAAUUUAAAAAUGCAAAUGAGAUUGGGAAAAAGAAUCGAAGAUCCGUAUUAUUAGAUUUGUGUGAGAAAAAAAAAAUCGCAUUCUUUCGUUCAAAAUUUUCUUAAAAAAACUGAAUUUAUAUGUGAUAGUAGCUCAUCCUCUGCAAUUAUAAAAAUAAAAUAGACUAAAUUCUUAUUACAAAGCAAGAGAGGAGGAAAAGAUCUAAGAGUUUUUAUAUCUUGGUAUGCAUUUAGCUACAGUAUGAGCUCCAGAUUUAACUGAUAACAUAGUCCAUGUAAUUUAAUUUGGACAAUGAAUGAAAAGUGACAAUGACUUCCAGAUAUCCAUGAUUUAAAUUACAAUGGAAAAAUAGAAGAAGAAAUGAGGAAGAAUGUGAGGGACUGGGACUAAUUAAUAUAUUAAAUAUUUUACAUCUAACUCUCUUAAUGUAUACACUUCUUCUGAACUUUAUCUGAGAUGAACAGUUAUAGAGAUGAACAGUCAGAGAGGGUGUUGAAAGAGAGAGCUCCCAAUGCAAUUCACAUCCUCCGCUUCAUGCUCUACCAUAUCACUCUCAAAUGGCUGCCAUGCAAUGUGCUCUAACUUCUCUUAUGGACUCUCAAAACAAACCAUAUGCCUUCAACAAAUCAACAUUAGAAUUACCUUUCCAGGACGCUUCUUCUUCUUCCAGCAACAAUGAGAAAUUCUCUUCAAAAUCCAAAAAGUACUCCUCUAAUUUACACCUCACCAUCUUUCAGCCAUGGGAAAUCAUACACCCCAAGUCCCAACUCGAAUUCCCAUGCAUCUCAACAACAAUCCUCUUUCUCUCUAAUAAAGAACGAAGAAAGAAAGAACGAGCGAUUUUUUUCCCUCACACAAACCUUAUAAUACGGAUUCUUAAUUUUUUAAUGCCAUGUAUGAUUAAUGUAUACAUUGAUCAUAUCACGUAAGCGAAACUUAAACGAUCUUUUGUUCAAUUUGACGGCAGGCUCUAAUUACUUCAAUUUUUAAAAAAUAAGGAUCUAAUUAAGAUGGCAUAAAAAAAAAGGGACUUAUUUGACAUUUUGGACCAAAAUAGGAACAAACCGAGACAUUAAACCUAUAGUCUUUCAUAAUUAUUCUUUUCCAUUUGUUAUUUAAAAAACGUUAAAAUUAGAAAAUGUUAAUUUAUAUAACAAAGAUAAUAAAGAAUUUUAAAUGGAAAUAAUUAUAAUUUUAAAGCAUAAAAUUUAAUAAAUCUAUACUUAUAUAUAUAUAUAUAUAUAUAUAUAUAUAUAUAUAUAUAUAUAUAUAUAUAUAUAUAUAUAUAUAUAUAUAUAUUAUGGGUUUGUUAACGUGCGUAUGCCUCUUUUCAGUUGGUACAUUUUAACAAUGUGUACCGGAUUAUAGUAGACAAAAAUAUCAUCAUAUAUUAUGGAUUCUAAGUUUUAAAGUCAAGGAUAUUUAAAUAAUUUUCAUUCUGAAAACUAAAAAAAAAAAAGAAAUCCCCAAACCCUUACUCACCUCUCCCAUUCCUAUCAAUUCUUUCUGUUUCAUUUCUCUCACUCCAACUUUUUCUCUGUCAUUUUUACUAUAGCCCCAAUUAAAAAAAAUUAGAAAAACUUGCUGUUAAGAAAUUUCUUACAAAAAAAUGAUUUUAUAAUGAGUUUUCAUUUUAUAACUUUUGUCUUAUCUAAUUUUCACAAGCAUAAUGACAUAUGAAGGAAUUGGUAAUUCGCCUGAAAAAAAAAAUAAAAAACACUCGCUAUUAAACAAUUUCUUACAAAAAAUGAUUUUAUAAUGAGUUUUCAUUUUAUAAUUUUUGUCUUAUCUAAUUUUAUUUAAUUUUCACAAGCAUAAUGACAUCAGAAGGAAUUAGUAAUUGGCCUGAAGAUUUUUUAAGAAAUGACGAUUCAACAUCUGCAGAUGAUGAAAUUAGAGAUGUUAGUGAAGAUGAUGAAAUUGAAGAGAUCUUGAAUGAACCUUUGCCUGAAAGCGAAUAUGCCAAUGACUCAACUCUUUACAAAGGUAAAUUGUUUAAGGAUGAGUAUUUCUAAUUUUUUUUUCAAUUGGAUCUACCAUAGGAUGAUAGAGAAACGGUUGGAGUGAGAGAGAUGAAAGAGAAAGGAUUGAGAGGAAUGAGAGAGGUGAGUAAGGGUUUGGGUUUUUUUUUUNUUUUGUUUUGAGAAUGAAAAUUAUUUAAAUAUCCUUGACUUUAAAACUUAGAAUCUUAAUAUAUGAGGGUAUUUUUGUCUACUAUAAUCCGGUACACAUUGUUAAAAUGUACCAACUGAAAAAUAGGCGUACAUAUAUAUAUAUAUAUAUAUAUAUAUAUAUAUAUAUAUAUAUAUAUAUAUAUAUAUAUAUAUAUAUAUAUAUAUACAAACACACACACACAUACGGGGUUUGUUAACAUACGUAAGCUAUAUUUUUACAGUUAAUACAUUUUAGCAAAGUAUACCGAGUUUUAGUAGACAAAAAUACCCUUAUACAUUAUGGAUUCUAAGUUUUAAGGUCAAAGAUAUUUGAAUAAUUUUCGUUCUUAAAACUAGAAAGAAAAACAAGAAACCUGCAAACCCUUAGUCACCCUUCUCUCAUCCCUCAUUCCUCUCAACCAUUUCUCUUUUAUCACUCUCUGUAACCUUUUCUCUGUCAUCCCUAUAAUAGCCCCAACUGAAAAAAAAAAAAUCAGAAACACUCGCAUAACCCUAAUCCACCUUCCUCAUUUAUCCAAUUUGUUUCUCUCUCAUCUUCACCUCUCUCGUCCACACACAGUAACUCGCGACAUUGCAAUUUGUAGUUCUUGCUCUGUUCGUUCAUUUGUUUCCACUUUAAUAACAAAAUAAUUGAUGAUGUUGAUGUUGAUUUUUGAUUGAAGGGUUGUUAUAUUUUUUUCCCUUAUGAUUAUUAUUAAAUUUUGUUUUUAAAUUUUAGAAUUAGUAGUUUAUCUAUAGGGAGAUUUGAUAUUUUGACUAUUAAGUUGUCCGAAAAUAUUUUUCAGAAGAGAAAAAUAGUUACGUGGAAAGGCGAUUCCCGAAAGGGUAAGUCAUUGUCCAAAAAAUGGAUUUCUGAAGUCAGUUCUUAAAAAUAAUUCUAAAAACAUAUUUUGCGCUGAAAGCAAUACUUUGGAAUAUACUUUUCACCUUCCUGCAUAUAACCAACGUCAAAACACAACAAAAAAUGAAGCUCAUGUACAUCGUACUAAAUGAUUUAACAGGAAAAAAUUAUUGAAGAGAGUUAUGAACAUAAAAGAAUUUUGUUGUUGUCCACUAGACUUUUCACUCAAUUCUGGUUGUGUAAUAUUGUUCAUCACUCCUGAUGUCCACUAGACAAACUCGUCUAGGUACCGCUUAAUCCAACCAAGUUAAGCCUUAAGUGUUUGAAUUAUCUUCAAAAUAUGCAAUCAAUCAAAUCACCUACAAGUCAUUAGAUGAUUACUCUCAUAGUGAGGAUUUGCUUACAAUAUAAUUCAAUCUAAUAGACUUUUGAAAUUUUCUUUUUUCUUACAAGUGUAACUUUCUAACUCUAAACAACUCUGAGAGUAUUCUUGAUCUUUCAAUGAGGAUGAUUUUUCUUUAUAUUCCUUAUGUGUCCAUCCUUUUUUCCUUCUUAACCAGAUAUCUUCUCUUUAUAAGCGUUUUUUGAGAAUUUAGUCGUUAGAUGAUGCUUGUCUUUGAAUUUUAGCUCUUUGUAGCCUGCCUUUAUCAUAGGUGGUUGUCAUAGGUUGAGGUCUACUUGUCAAAGUAGGCUUACUUUUUUAGUACUUUAUCAAAAGUAGGUUGUACGAAUUCUUUGGCUCGACUUUUGAUAAGAAGGUCAUUCCAUGAAUGUCUUCUUUGUCUCUAACUUGUAUUUGAUAGAGAAGGUGGAUGCUUGACUUAGGUAAUUUGCAUAAAGUAGAGUAGAUAUUCAUACAAGCAUAUAUGUCUGUUUUCCUUUCACUUUUGCUAUUUUGAGACAUUGUGUUUUUUAAUGCGCGUUUAGAACAACUAUAAGUAUUUUAAAAUUUCCUUGCUCAAGCAGCAUUUGGUUGUUUAAGCAUUCUAGUAGAGAUACCUAGUAGAUCAUGAGAGUUUCAUCAUUGGAUGAAAACUUCGUUUAGCACAUGAUAUCGUUUAGCCUAUGCAAGGCUUUUCAUAAUAGUGCCUUGUUUAAUAAAUACUCGUUUGAUUUAAGAGCGCAUUUAGUGAGAUAUCUUUCAACAUCAAUUUUUGGAACAAUGAUUGUAUCUUUUAGCACAUUUACCAAAAACAUCAUUUUAUAUAUAUCAUAGUGAGAUCUUGUUUAGCUUUGUUUAGCAAAGUAUAGCACAAAUGUGUUUAACAAGACUCUCAUAUAGCUCAAUGACGCAUUUAGUAGUGAAAUCGUUUAGUAGUGCAUCUACUUAUGUAUUAGUGCAUUUAUUAAAGUUUUUUCUUUCAUGGAAAGUCUUUUUAUGUAGCGAUAUGAGUUUUACAAAGGUAAUACUUUGUUAAUCAUCUAUUUCGGUCAUAUUCUUAUUUACUAAUUCUCAAGUCAUGUGAAGAUGCUAAACAAUCUUGAUCUUAUCUUAGCAAACUUCCUUUCUUCUUGUAGUACUGAUUUAUUGUGUAGCACUAUCGUUUUGUAUUAUGUCUCUUCUUAGGAAUGAAUUGUUUUCUUUUAGGAUGAAGAUAUAUUCUUUUAUUUUACGAAUAUUUUAUUUGCAAUGCGUGAUUACUUGAUAGAUUCUUGCACUCAAUGUUUUGUCAGUUUUACUUGGACACUUCUUAUGCUUAUUGCUUUGUAAUUGUAUAUUUGUAGGCAUACUGUAUGUAGGCUUCUUCUAUGUUUCUAUGUUAUUUCAGCUUAUCUCUUUUGUUGUUUAACAACUUAUGUAACUUUAGAUGUAACCUUGAUUUUUACUUUGAUUUGGCUUGACAAUAUAGAUGCUUCUAACCUUAGACGUUUUUCUUUUGGACAUCUUUUUUCCGCUAAAUGGAUAACUAGAUGGUUUGCAAAGUCCACUUUCUAGUGUUUAGAUGAUUUUUCUUUUACAAUUAUCAGAUAAUGUCAUCGAUAAAUAUAUCAUCCAUAAAUAUCAUCCAUAAAUAUAAUGAAUAAUUGUACUUAAUUUAUCUAUCAUUCUAAAAAUAACUUUUUUUUCUAAUCGACUUAAUGAGUCCACUACUAAAUUUAUUAUUAUAUAUUAUUUAAUAAUAUUAUCUUGAAAAUAUUUUAUCAAGAUAAUUUUAUGAAAUAUUAAUUAAAAAACAAUAAACAUUUAUAACAUUUAUAAGAAAGUGUGAUAUUUGAGAAAAACAUAAUAUAAUAUUUAAAAUAAAAGACAACUUAUUAGAAGAAAUGAGAAGAACAGGGAUGGAACUAAAGGUUAAUAAAUAAAAUUGAUGUUUUUCUAUUUUUACAAUUAAUUAUUUUUAGAAUAAAAGUUGUGUAUGGAAUUAAAAAUUCUAUACAAUAAUUUGUUAAGAGAUAAAAUAUGGUCGUAGAGGAUUAAUAAUUUAUUUAUUAAUUUUUCUAUUACUUUUGAUAGUUAACCAUGGAUGAUUGUUAUAGUUUUUUAGAACAUUAGUUACUUUCCUUAGUUAGUUUUAAUUUUUUUUUUCUACAAAUAGUUGAGUAAAUUAUUUUUCUAUACCAUAUGUUACGGAUGUUUCUUUAAUUAGUUUUAUACUUUCUAGCAAAUAAUUAAACACAAUUAUUAUCUUACGCAUGAAUGUGAAACAUGAUAUAAAUGUGUAAAAUUAACUUAUGAAAUCUUAUGAAAUAUAUGUUAAUGAAGUUGAAUCUCAUUUUCAAUUAAAAGGAAAACAAACUGAAAGAAAGACAACACCAAUUUCAUUCAUGUAUUUAUGAGGUGUCAAAGUUUCAUUUUAACAUUUUGUCUUUUCACAUAAUAUUAAUUGAAAAAAAAAAGUAAUGAAAAGGUGGAGAAAAAAAUGUAUGAUUUUAGUAUGUCUUCCGUUGUAGCCAAAAAACUGCUCACUGAAAGGAAUUAAAAAAUAGAUUUGAAUAGGAGUCUGUCAGACAACCCUGCAACCAUCCCCAGCUUGUAAAGUCAGGGAACGAUCCUCUACAGCUGGUGAUGGGUCUCGUCCAGAAACGAAGCCCACACUGCCGUUAAUCACGCUCUGAUCACAGGGUAAUAAUUCAUCCACCAGACUUCAGUUCCUGUCUCCUUAGAACUUAAGGAUACAGAGGUACGAACCUAUAGAACAGAUCCUGUUCAAGUAAGGUCGU
Molecule: long non-coding RNA, 38103 nt
Filed under: Vigna radiata
Lineage: Eukaryota; Viridiplantae; Streptophyta; Magnoliopsida; Fabales; Fabaceae
Description: long non-coding RNA (VRAD_LNC002994)
Source: RNAcentral